UGUAUGCUUUUCUAAGAUUAAGCCAUGCAUGCCUAUGAUUAGAACGUGUUUGAAGCAUUGAAUCUGCGAACGGCUCCGCACAAAAGUCGUAAUGAAAGACCGCCCAGUAAAGCAUGGAUCACAGGCGACCUUGCGGACUGUUGGCUCAGUCAGUCGUUGUUGAAGGGCAUUUCUUUUGCGGGAUGCCUGGAUUUUCGAUUGGUAUUGCUGGUUAGGACCGUGAGGCAACGAAUGUCGGAAGUGCUUAUCAUGAUAAAUGGAUAUCCCUGGUAAUUCUAGGGUUAAUACAAGAGGGUUAAUGUAAAAUCCAGAGAGAGGUUAAGCUAAGGCAUUUACUUGCUGGACGCACCUCUCUACGGGUUCCAGAGAACAAAAGUCCACCGGAUCUAAUCAACAUAGGUCAGGAUCACUGCAGCUGCAUACCCGCAAUUGUACACGAAUUUGUAUUCUCUGGCUGGACCGCUUUAUAGCGGCGCCGGGUCAUUGGCCUCUCACCUAUCAACUCCCGAUGAAAGCGCCACGUCCAUUCAUGGUCACUACGGGUACAGAGGAUCAGGGUUCGAUCCUGGAGAGUGGGCCUUAAAAAUUGCUCACACUUCUAAGGAAGGCAGCAGGCGCGUAACGUUCCCAUUGCACAAUGUGCGAGGGCGUGAAAGGAUAUAUCGCAUCCUGCUCAUUUUAGGGUGGGUUAGCGGAAUGAAUCUAAGUUAAACAUAUAGCAAGAGUAACAAUUAGAGGACAAGUCUGGUUAGCAUAUCAGCCAGAUGUCUGAUAGGCUAGCCAGCACCCGCGGUAAUUCCAGCUCUAAUAGCAUACGAUAAAGUUGCUGCAGUUGAAACGCUCGUAGUCGGAGACAAAAAAUAUUAAUAUUCCACGUGUUCAUAGACAACUUGAAGGAGGAUCCCGCGUCCACGGUUCUGGUUAUUUAUGGCUACCCGGUUCCGCCGAGCCAAGCAUAGCCAUCCAGCAACGCAGAGGUGCUUAACCGAUUAGCGUAGGUACCCUGACCUAUCAUAAACUCUGUCAUGCGCGCAAGCGAGUGGCAGGGGGGCGGGGUAGUCGUUGCUCAUACCUUCGUCGUAUGGGGAAGUACGGUAAUCAACAUAGAAGGGAAUCUCUGGAGAGGAACCGUGGCUAUAUCCCUUCGUAUUACCAUGAGAAAAGUAGAGUGAUCCAAGCAGGCAGGUAAUCGACAACCUACGCAUGUGCAUAUUACAGCAUGGUAUAACUCAUGAGAAGGAUCUGGUGAGUGGGCCGCAAGGCCAUUAACACUCAUCUCGGUGGCAUCGUUAACUGGGACAUCGUGCUCCUGGGUCCCUCGCCAGAGGGAGGCGUUGCAGCCAAUCUUUUGAAGUGACGUUGAUCGCAAAAAAAGAGAGUGGGGGUGGAGGGUGUUAAAGCCUGAAUCCCCUGCUCUUGGAGCACUGUGUCAAUUGGUCAACAGGGUUGUUGGGGGGUAGCAGAAUCGCUGGGCGAGGGGUGAAAUCCGUUGACCCUAGCGAGUCUACCAAGUGCGAAAGCAGCUGCCAACGGCACUCCCAUUGAUCAAGAGCGAAAGUUAAGGGUUCGAAAACGAUCAGAUACCGUUGUAGUCUUAACUAUAAAUGUUGCCAUCUAGGGAUGGGGGGACUAGUCCCUCUUGACAUUCCCUGCCCCUUCGUGAAAACAAAGUAUUUGGGUUCCGGGGGGAGUAUGGUCGCAAGAACGAAACUUAAAGGAAUUGACGGAACGGCACACCAGGAGUGGAGCCUGCGGCUUAAUUUGACUCAACACGGGAAAACUCACUAGGUCAAGAUACUUGAAUGAAGGACAAGCUGAUAGACUUUUCCCAAUACAGUAAGUGGUGGUGCAUGGCCGUUCUUAGUUCGUGGAGUGAUUUGUCUGGUCGAUUCCGCUAACGAGCGAGACACAUACGAUCUAAAUAGGAUGUUCCCUUGUAAUCUAACCUGGCCGACUGAUAACCGCACAUCCAAUCUCUAUAGCUAGUGGUGGAAAAUCAAAAAAAGGACAACUGUGGGACCUUACCCACCUUGGAGUCACUAGUUAUGAUAGAUGAGGGGUUUGUGGUGGAGAAUAAAAAAAGGACAACCGUGGGACCUUACCCACCAUAAGCCACUAGGUUAGCCGGUUUCAUUGGAAAUUCUUCUUAGAGGUAUCGGGGCUGAUAAAGCCCCAUAAAAUGUGCAAUAACAGGUCAGUAAUGCCCUUAGAUGUCCUAGGCCGCACGCGCGCUACAAUGUAGUGCGUGAACGAGCACUAGAUUUCAGGUAGUGAGUAAGUAGUUUUCAAUUGCUACCCUCUCUGCUAGCUUCCUAAGCCGACAGGCACUCCAAAAAAUGGGGGCCACCUUCUCGCGUGGGUGUGCUCUCGUUGGGUAAUCUCUCAAAACAAAUACUCGUCUGGGCCUGCUUUUUGUAAUUAUUGGACACCAACGAGGAAUUUCUAGUAGGCAUCGGUCAUCAGCCGGUGCCGACUCUGUCCCUGCCGUUUGUACACACCGCCCGUCGCUGCUACCGAUUGGGUGUUUUGAUUAAGUCUACGGAGCCGUGUGCAUGCUGACUCGCAAGGGUUAACAAGCUAUCCGUCGCGAAGUAGAACCUAUCAAAG
This 2607-nucleotide ribosomal RNA is filed under the name Echinostelium coelocephalum. RNAcentral describes it as "partial 18S ribosomal RNA". It matches the Rfam family "Eukaryotic small subunit ribosomal RNA". Lineage: Eukaryota; Evosea; Eumycetozoa; Echinosteliales; Echinosteliidae. The record is from RNAcentral.